This 459-nucleotide ribosomal RNA is filed under the name uncultured bacterium. RNAcentral describes it as "partial 16S ribosomal RNA". It matches the Rfam family "Bacterial small subunit ribosomal RNA", at positions 338 to 795 of the family's 1533-position model. The record is from RNAcentral.
CCUACGGGCGGCAGCAGUGAGGAAUAUUGGUCAAUGGCCGCAGGGCUGAACCAGCCAAGUCGCGUGAGGGAUGACGGUCCUAUGGAUUGUAAACCUCUUUUGUCAGGGAGCAAAGGGCGCCACGUGUGGCGCUUUGCGAGUACCUGAAGAAAAAGCAUCGGCUAACUCCGUGCCAGCAGCCGCGGUAAUACGGAGGAUGCGAGCGUUAUCCGGAUUUAUUGGGUUUAAAGGGUGCGCAGGCGGCAUGUCAAGUCAGCGGUAAAAUUUCGGGGCUCAACCCCGUCGUGCCGUUGAAACUGGGGUUCUUGAGUGAGCCAGAAGCAUGCGGAAUGCGUGGUGUAGCGGUGAAAUGCAUAGAUAUCACGCAGAACUCCGAUUGCGAAGGCAGCAUACCGGCGCUCAACUGACGCUCAUGCACGAAAGCGUGGGUAUCGAACAGGAUUAGAUACCCCGGUAGUC